Molecule: ribosomal RNA, 541 nt
Filed under: Hepatozoon canis
Lineage: Eukaryota; Apicomplexa; Hepatozoidae
Description: SSU rRNA
Rfam family: Eukaryotic small subunit ribosomal RNA
Source: RNAcentral
AAAAUCUCAACUUUAUUAGAAGAGACGCAUUUAUUAGAUAAAAAGCCAAUGCAUGCUUUUACAGUAUGGAAAUUGGUGAUUUAUAAUAACUUGGCAAAUCGCAAAGUGAAAACAGGCGAUAAAUCAUUCAAGUUUCUGACCUAUCAGCUUUCGACGGUAUGGUAUUGGCUUACCGUGGCAGUGACGGUUAACGGGGGAUUAGGGUUCGAUUCCGGAGAGGGAGCCUGAGAAACGGCUACCACAUCUAAGGAAGGCAGCAGGCGCGCAAAUUACCCAAUUCUAACAGUUUGAGAGAGGUAGUAACAAGAAAUAACAAUACAAGGCAAUUAAAAUGCUUUGUAAUUGGAAUGAUAGAAAUUUAAACCCUUUUUAAAGUAUCAAUUGGAGGGCAAGUCUGGUGCCAGCAGCCGCGGUAAUUCCAGCUCCAAUAGCGUAUAUUAAAAUUGUUGCAGUUAAAAAGCUCGUAGUUGAAGUUCUGCUAAAAGUAACCGGUCUGCUUUUAAUAAAAGUGGUAUCUUGGUGUGUAUUUAGCAAUGAUGUC